This 71-nucleotide transfer RNA is filed under the name Myotis brandtii (Brandt's bat). It matches the Rfam family "tRNA". From Rfam's summary of the family: Transfer RNA (tRNA) molecules are approximately 80 nucleotides in length. Their secondary structure includes four short double-helical elements and three loops (D, anti-codon, and T loops). Lineage: Eukaryota; Metazoa; Chordata; Mammalia; Chiroptera; Vespertilionidae. The record is from Rfam by way of RNAcentral.
GCCAGUGUGGCUCAGUGGUGAGCGCCGACCUAGGAACCCGGAGGUCGGGGUUCGAUUCCCGGCCAAGGGCA